RNAcentral lists this ribosomal RNA (354 nucleotides) under Orectochilus villosus bellieri. RNAcentral's name for it is "partial 12S ribosomal RNA". Lineage: Eukaryota; Metazoa; Arthropoda; Insecta; Coleoptera; Gyrinidae. The record is from RNAcentral.
UUUUAAAUGUAAAUUAAUCAACUAAAUUAUUAAUAGUUAAGUUCUUUAAAUUUAAAAAAUUUGGCGGUAUUUUAGUCUUUUCAGAGGAACCUGUUCUAUAAUUGAUAGUCCACGAUUAGUAUUACUUAAUUUAAAAAAGUUUGUAUAUCGUUGUUUUAAAAAUUUUAUAAGAAUAAAAAUUUUUAGUAAAUUAAAUUAAAUUAAUAAUCAAAUCAAGGUGCAGUUUAUAAUUAAGUAGAAAUGGGUUACAAUAGUAAUUAAUUAAAUGGAUUAAGUUUUUAAAUAAAUUUAUGAAGGUGGAUUUGAAAGUAAUUAUAUUAAUUUAAAUAUAGUGAUUUUAGCUCUAAAAUAUGU